UCUAAACAGGUACCUCAAGUAACCUUGGCACUCCAGACACAAGCACCCAUCACCAAGCUCCACUUCAAUAGCAGGAAAGAACACCCCACACACUGGCCGCUCUUCCACAGGUACAGGAUUCACUCCGUUCUGCACAGACCAGGAGGAAGGCUCACUCCAUGCUGAAGAUACUCCCAGCUGUUCCUCUAUGGGCUUGUUCCAGGCAGGCUCCACGAUAUACAGUUAACCCAACAGGGGAAGGGAAGGUGUUCCUAGUAUGGAGCUGGUCCCAUAAAGGACACUGCCACUUCUGUCCUCCUGCCUCUCAAGCCAGUGGCAGCAUCACACAUCCAUCAUGGAUGCUUUUCAAUAAAGGCUGCAAUUUUG
Rhineura floridana is the source of this 366-nucleotide long non-coding RNA. RefSeq lists it as uncharacterized. The record is from RefSeq and is a predicted model, not a curated record. Lineage: Eukaryota; Metazoa; Chordata; Lepidosauria; Squamata; Rhineuridae. The transcript has 2 exons.